Cannabis sativa is the source of this 1400-nucleotide long non-coding RNA. RefSeq lists it as uncharacterized. The record is from RefSeq and is a predicted model, not a curated record. NCBI's taxonomy places the organism in Eukaryota, Viridiplantae, Streptophyta, Magnoliopsida, Rosales, Cannabaceae. The transcript has 3 exons.
AGUUUCAAAAAUAUAAUUUAGUAGUGUUUUCGUCAAAAAUAAAAUUUAAGUAUUUAUGCCGUAAAUUAAUCAAAUUUACUAAAUUAGCCUUUCUCUUUCAAAACCGAAAUGUAAUAAUGAUUCCAUUACUAAACCUAAAAUUUUGAUUUUCAAAAAAAAUUGAGAGUUACAGAGUUACAAUACAACAAAAAUUCUUACUUUUUGUAGACUGUAUCUGAGCUUUUGGUAUCAUCUGAUACCUGAAAACAAUCUUCAUCUCCUCUCAAUUGGGUCAUUUUUCUUCUUCGGAUUCAUUAUCUCAUCUCAAUUGAAUCUAGCUUUCUCUAUAUUCUCAUUGGGUCUCCAUGAAUUUGUUUAAACAUGCAUAAAUUACUCAAAACCCCUUUAAACCCUAAUUUCUCUCUCUUUCGCCGCUCAUCCGGUUGGAUUCUCCGCCCAAUUCAUCAGCCAAAAUCAACAGUACCCAUUUACUGCAUAAUGUAGAGGAUCAGAUACAAUCAGGUUUCAGAGAUGUGUUUUUGCUGACAUUCCCCAUUUAUUCAUCUCUCCUUCUUUUAUUAGGAACAUACAUUUCUUUUAAAAACUUAGCCUAGUGUUUUGAUCGAAAUGGAGUGUUCAAUGUCACUUUGCUAAAUGACCUUAUUUUGAGCCUAGCUUUUCCGAUACACAUCCUUGUCCGGAAAGCUACUUUUUCAAGAACUAACAAAUGAAUGCCAUUUUACAAAAUGACAUUUAAGAAGCUCUAUUUUCACCGAUUACUCGAGCAAUAUUCAUGAAAAUCAAAACUUGUUGCAACUUUAUCUAUAUCUAUACACUAACUUGUUUGGCUGUCACAACAUUUUUCUUAUCAUAUCAAGAAGAAAGAUGCAAAUGCCUGAAUUUUAUGUUGUAGGCUUGAAUGCAAGAACUUCUUUUUUUCGAAUCUUUUGGCUUGUCAUUGCAUUUUCGGCUCCUCUCCUCUAUUAUCAGAUUCACAAGGGACCUCCUUUGUCACAUGUUGAGGCACAUCUUUCUAGUUCUUCUUGUCCAUACUCCAUACCAUAUGAAGUGGAAAAACAGCACCAUCAAUGAAGCUUCAAAAGAAAGUGGGCAUGUGUUGGACUUGUACACAAUGUGAAGCAAACCCCCUUUUUCUCCUGCAAAGUUUGGUGUAAAUAUAUAAAUGUAUAAAGAAUAAUAAACAUGUAAUUUAUUCACUUUCCUCAAUUAAAAACCAGAGCUUUUAUAAGCAAAAGAUGCCUUUUUUAUAUCAUGGCAAUAUAAAAAAAGACUUGAUCUUUGGGAAGUUAGUUAGAUUUGAUUGAUUUCAUUGUUUCUUUAUCUUUGUUAUACUUUCCUAGUUUUAGGUAAUGAACAUGAACUUGUUUGUGCAGAUAAAAUAUCAAUAAUUGCAGCUCUUA